UACAGAGGUCCCAAGCGUUGUUCGGAUUCACUGGGCGUAAAGGGCGCGUAGGCGGCCCGCUAAGUCGAACGUGAAAUCCCCGGGCUCAACCCGGGAACUGCGUCCGAUACUGGCAGGCUUGAAUCCGGGAGAGGGAUGCGGAAUUCCAGGUGUAGCGGUGAAAUGCGUAGAUAUCUGGAGGAACACCGGUGGCGAAGGCGGCAUCCUGGACCGGCAUUGACGCUGAGGCGCGAAAGCCAGGGGAGCAAACGGG
This 253-nucleotide ribosomal RNA is filed under the name uncultured bacterium. RNAcentral describes it as "partial 16S ribosomal RNA". It matches the Rfam family "Bacterial small subunit ribosomal RNA", at positions 524 to 776 of the family's 1533-position model. The record is from RNAcentral.